AAUAUGCAAGUAUGAUGAUUCAAUUAGAUGUAUGAAAGGAGAAAUCUAUUUUUUGAGGCAAACUGUCUGACUUGCUAAUU
Molecule: small nucleolar RNA, 80 nt
Organism: Medicago truncatula (barrel medic)
Lineage: Eukaryota; Viridiplantae; Streptophyta; Magnoliopsida; Fabales; Fabaceae
Rfam family: Small nucleolar RNA Z266
About the family: Z266 is a member of the C/D class of snoRNA which contain the C (UGAUGA) and D (CUGA) box motifs. Most of the members of the box C/D family function in directing site-specific 2'-O-methylation of substrate RNAs.
Source: Rfam